This 1264-nucleotide small RNA is filed under the name Vigna angularis var. angularis. RNAcentral describes it as "Non-protein coding transcript". The record is from RNAcentral. Lineage: Eukaryota; Viridiplantae; Streptophyta; Magnoliopsida; Fabales; Fabaceae.
UGUAACUCGAAAUCUUCUUUUAUGUCCUCUCCAACAAAAUUGGAAUUGAAAAAACACCGAAUCUCCUUCUUUUACCCAAUUUAGAUUUUCUUCCAUACUUUCACUGAAAAAGAAAGCUGAAGUAUGAGUUGGAGGUAUCAUUGUUUAGGACGGACUUUGUCUUUGAUGUGUGUUAGGAGUAUUUCAUGGAGCAAAAUAGCUGGCUUUGUACAGAUUGGAUUCUUCAGAAACUUGCCUCUGGAUUCAAGUUAACCUUGUUCUAUGUACUAAAGUGAUGAUGGAAUGUAUACAUGGUGUGUUAAUCUGCGUAUAGAAUCUGUCAAUUAUGGCAACUUCACGCAUGGGCUGAUGCAGAAGAAUAUCCAACUUAGCAGAAAGGUUCUGUCAGAGUUAUCUGUGCACGAACCCUGUAGCUUCAAAACUUUGGUAGAUCUAGCACAUUUCCAGGAAACAAGAAUGUAGUGAUUCCGCCAAGAAAGGUUGCCUUCUAGGGACGUGGCACUUUAGCAAACAUUUAGUGGUAGUUUAAGUUAGAACCCUUAGCAAAUUUUAGCAAACAGUAAAUUUUAUUUUAAAAGACAUGCUUCUUUUGUAGUGCUAAGUUUCUGCGGUUUUCAUUACAAACAUACACGUGUGAUCAUUCACUGCCCAAGACUAUUACGAAUCUCCUUGCUGAAAAGGAACCGUGAGACUUUUGAGUAGUAAUCUUGUUUUAGUGCUUGGUGGGGUUAGUAGUUAACCCAAAUCCAAAUGGAAAUAGAGGAUCAUAAUUUUUAUCACCAACAUUCAUUGGAAGUUGGUUAACUGUCUUGAACCAUGUUCUUGCAAGCUUGCCGGUGAAUCCAUAAUCACCAAAUAGAAGAUCAGCGACACCUUGGCCUUCAGUUCCUGGAAGCCAUGCAGCCACAAGAGCGUCUAUUUUUGAUAGAUAAGGCUGAAUCACUACUGGACGACCAGUGAUGAGAACUACCACGCAUUGGAUAGAUUUACAUACAUUGGUAAUGGUGCUUGGACCUGGCUCAGGUAUAGUUAGAUUCGAGCUAUCACCAAAUGUUUCUGCAUAAGGGGGUUCCCCUACAAUGACUAUGGCAUAAGAAAAGUUGUUGGACUUGACAAAGGUGGGAUCGGGACUUUCCUUGAAGAAAACAUCAGUAGCAGGAUCGAUUGUUUGUUUUACAGCAUCAAGAAUUGUUGUACCUGUUAGGAAAAUGAUAGUUUUUGUCAGAUAAACCGUAACUAUCCCACAACAAAAAUACCAUAAUCA